GAAUUAAGACACUUGCAGAAACAUGCAGAAACCACAAACAUAGUGAGGCUGUGAAAUGCGAGUGACAGACACAGAACAUAGGAAGAAAUGCCACGACUAAACAUGUACCUUCUUAUCCUGCUUUACUCUGCUCACAUAGCUGAGUCCAGCGAAAGGAUUGAUCUGUCUGUUGAUCCUCCAUGGACAGACGUGUUGACUGGAGAUACAGUCACCUUCACUUGUGAGAUCACAGGGACUGACCCCGGCAUUUUGUGGGAAUAUUCAUGGUUUAAGCGUGAUGGAAAUGGUGGAGAACAAGCUUUGCUGUCCACCAGCUCCAGCGAAGGCUCAUCUAAAUACACCAUGACCAAGGUGAAAAAUGCAGACAGCGCACAGUAUUGGUGUACAGCAAAGACAGGAAAUCAGACAUUCAACAGUUCACUGCACACG
Molecule: long non-coding RNA, 429 nt
Filed under: Scleropages formosus (Asian bonytongue)
Lineage: Eukaryota; Metazoa; Chordata; Actinopteri; Osteoglossiformes; Osteoglossidae
Description: lncRNA (ENSSFOG00015029405.1)
Source: RNAcentral